CCCUUUUGGCCAGUAUGGUAUGUAAGGUCAGGUUGCAUUAGUCUAUGUUAGGAUAAACUGGCUAACAUAUCAGUGAUGUAAAGUCGCUUCAUGUGUACUUUAUGUAACCUCGGACACAUGUACAACCUAUCACAUGUCCAUGUUGUUCUUUCCAUACACAACUUUUCCAUGUGCGGUCUUAAAUACAACUUGGUCUCACACCUAUACCUGAGAGCUCUCUCAAGUACAAAUAAACAGGAAACUAUAUGCUGAAAAGUGUGGUGAUAUAUUCAGUUACUAAAUUUACUGAAUUUGUGAUCCCAAUAUUGCCAGCAGAAUAGUGAAAUGACAGGGAUUGCUCUAUAGCAAAUUUGCAGUGUCCUUGAACUUUGUGAUGUUUCCUAGGGCAACUGGUCUGGUCCAAACUAAUAAAUGCAUGGGUUUUCAUGUUAUGUUCCAUGUAAGAAGUUGAUCUAUGUUUCUUAUGUAUUUGCCUUUAUCUCUCUUGUUCAUUGCAUUGUUGCUUGCUGAUGUUCUUACAUUAUUUUCUGAUCGCUUUAUUACCGGGUUGAGAAUGACCGCACCCGCAGGGGUGCGGCAAGCCGCACUUCUUACCUGUUGUACAGACAACAGAGGAGUGCCGGAGAGAGAAUCCAUUGAAUGCAGAAGCCUGAAGGAGUCCAUAUAGUGCAGGCUGGUCAAGCGUGAGGUUAGUAGCAUGCAAACUACUAACUAGCUAUUGUGAUUAGGGAUACCUGUCAGUUAACUCCUUGUUCGUGCAAGCUAACCUAAUUGAUUACUUAGUAGCUACAUAAUGGUAUGUUUUAACUUUAGAAUGAGAGUAAUCACUAGAGGGUUGGAUUCAUGGUUGCAAUAUUUAAUUUCUAUUAAUUUGCUUUUAUAUAUUAUGAACUUCAGUUUCUUUAUAUGCCAAAACAAAAUCGCCAAUUUGGAAACCUCUGUCAGUGUUAAAUAAUUAGGCAUAUAAUAAGGUGAAAAGAGUGGUAACAAUAAGAUUACUGCUUGAUGUACAGAGUUCAGGUUAUCACACCAUAUGAAGUGAAAGCGCCGUUGGGACUAUUCGCGGUGCAUAGAACUUCCAUGGCAGCACGGGCGAUUCCAAGGCCCACUUGAGCUCCUCCUGCUGAUGUCAGACGGUGAGAUUUCUCAACCUGCACUCUAUUAGCCAUGUAAGAUUGCUUUGCUAGAGAUCAUUUAUUUCUUGCCAUCCAUUCGUUAUAAACUUGAUUCUUCGUCACGAAUGGAUCCUUAAUUAUGUGUGUCAUGUUGUUUCCCUGAAAACGGACGAUCGAGUCACAUUUCUUAUUUUCUGUUGUGAGUUGAGGAGCUUGCGGUUUUAAAAGUAUGUCUCAGUUGUAAGAAUGUGGAAAUGAUGGACAGGUAGCAAUUUUUUUAUAUUUUCUGUUUAUAUCCAAUAUUAAGUAGUUAUUAACUCCAUGGCACAGGACUGUACUUUUUGUAGAUGUAGUAGCUUUUGAUUUCCAUUUAGUUAUGGCUUUAUCUCCGCUUUUACAUACUGAUUAGGAUUUCCAUUUAGUCAGGGUCACAAAGUCUUUGUGCCAGGAUUCUUCCCUUUGUAAAUGUGAAAGCGGCUUGUACAAUCUAUUCACAGACUUGCUCUGCUGCUUUGUAGCCCAACUGAUUAUGUACUCUUGAUCGUCCUCAUGGCAU
Molecule: long non-coding RNA, 1671 nt
Filed under: Triticum aestivum (bread wheat)
Lineage: Eukaryota; Viridiplantae; Streptophyta; Magnoliopsida; Poales; Poaceae
Description: long non-coding RNA (TAES_LNC006458)
Source: RNAcentral